Marmota monax (woodchuck) is the source of this 2150-nucleotide long non-coding RNA. RefSeq lists it as uncharacterized. The transcript has 2 exons. Lineage: Eukaryota; Metazoa; Chordata; Mammalia; Rodentia; Sciuridae. The record is from RefSeq and is a predicted model, not a curated record.
CCCAAGAAUCUGAGCCCUGGGACCUCCUGUCAUCCCACGGGUAGGAGAAGGAGGGCUUUGGGGACGGGGGAGGAGGGUUUCCUGGAAACUCUCACCCCCAAACCCUCAGAUUCCCUCUCACCACCACCGGGUCCAGGGAAGGCAGCCAUUACAGCAGACAUCCGGGGAGAGGCCCGGCUGGCUCAGGGGCAGGGUCUGAAGGCCAUCAGUGGCUGACCAAGACCCACUCUAGCUUCAAGUUCUCUCCCCAGCCCCGGCCCCCAGUGCUGGGGCUAGAACCCAGGGCCUGUGCAGGUGAGGAAAGCUCUCUACCACUGAGCUGCCCCUCCAGCCCUUGUUCUAUUGGAACAGGGUCUCUCUAAGUUGUCUAAGCUGGUCUUGAACUUGCAAUCCUCCUGCCUCAGCUUCCCGAGUAGCUGGGGUUAUAGGCGAGCACCAACACCAUCCAGGACUCUCUUGUCGACAGCCUCCUGCUUUCUGGUGACCUCCCUGGAGGAGGGGGCAACUUGCACUGCCGCUCCAUCUCUGGCACUGGAAGCUCCCCCCACCCCCACUGCUAUCCCUGCCUCUGGGUGGGUUCCUUCACAGGGCUGCUGGGUGGAUUUGGUGCCACAGGGCCUUGACACAAGCCGGCAUGGAUUCUGCAGGUGAAGCCACUGCUGAUCUGGAGAAGAUGUGGGGAAAGGACAGGGGGCCACCCUGGAACCCCUCCCCCUGGGCUGGGUGAUUGAGUGAAUGAGUGGGUGAGUGGACUGGGCAGUCAGUGGCAGUCUCACUUCCUGGGUGAUAUCAGGGUACCUUCCUAGGACACUCAACGCCUGGCUGACACUGGCAUCACAUGGGCUCCGGUGACAUCAUUGCUGGGACACAGACACAGACUUCUGAUAUCUCUUGAAGGGCCUCGUGGCCCCUGCUGGGGGAAGCGGCAGGAACUGGGCAGCCCUUUCCUGGUGCUCCCCUGAGCAAGGGGAAGGAGGCCUCAGGACCAGGACCCCAGUAUCCUGCCUCCCAUGCUUGCUCGCUAUAAAGAUAUCUGCAGCCUGGGAGGCUGCCCGGUCAACACUGCGCAACUGAGACUGGGCUGAGAGGGCUCCCAGCCUCCACUGGCUUGGCUGGGACCAACCUCUCCAGGGAAACUUAGCACAUGGGAGCCUGACCAGUGAGGUUGUGGCACCCCAACUCCAGGUGUCCCCCGGCUUUGUGGAACAGACACGCCCUGUCUUGAAGCUGCAGAAUCCAUUAAAUAAUUCAGUGGUGUUUUUAAGAUCAUGAAGUUACCAGGUGACACACUUGGCGAUUGCAGCCACACUGAGGACAGGUGGCUCCUGCUGGGAGAUUACCACCUCUGCAAACAGGUCCCUGAGCAGCAACAGGUGUCCCUCACUGGGACCAGAAUCGGGGGGCCUGUGGCUGAAUGCAGAGGAGGAGGCUGGCCGUGGAUAACAGGGCAACAGCUGGUUUGGAGGUGGAGCCAGAGGGCAGCAACCAGGCCUGUGGCGUGGCAGUGACAGGCAGGUGAGGGUGGCCCUCUUGGAGCCGCAGCACCAGGAUGCACGAGCUCCAUAGCUUACCUGUCCAGGUGACACCAGGACAUGGCUGUUGUCCUUCUGUGUGAUGUAGUUGGAUAUUGCAUGUAGCAAUAGUUCUGAGCCUUUGGGGUUCAUCUGCAACUUCCUGUACCGUCUCAUUUCAAGCUAAAGUCUAACCCAGGAGGCAAAUAGUCCCACUUCAGAGAUGAGACAGUUGAAGCUCAGAAAAGAUAAGGAUACUGUCUGAUGCCACACAACUAACAAGAACUUGAUCAAAAUUCGAGGCACAACUGCCCUCCAGCGCACACAUCACACGUCAGCUGCAGGGAGGUCAGCAAUCAUUAGGCUCCUGGCCAAGCAUGUUCCUGAAAUACCCCAGCCUCAUUUCUCCAACAAAUGUUUGGCCAAGGAGGUUGGUGAGGGGACUGAUUGUCCAAACCACAGGGAAGUCUCUAGUGGGAUGAUGCUGGGCUCUGUCCUGGAGGGAAGUCUGACACUCAGAGGCCUGCCCUAGAGCAGACCUCCUACUGCGGCCAAUGUUGGGGGGGUCCUAGGAGGAGACCAAUCCAGUGACCUUCUGCCCGACCAAAUAAAAGUCUUCAAUGUGGCUUUGGAAACCCA